Molecule: ribosomal RNA, 428 nt
Filed under: Trichochermes grandis
Lineage: Eukaryota; Metazoa; Arthropoda; Insecta; Hemiptera; Triozidae
Description: partial 16S ribosomal RNA
Source: RNAcentral
AAACAUUUUUGGGAGAAAUAAAUUUUUGGUAUAACCUGCUCCAUGCUUAAGUUAAUAGCUGCAGUAUUUUGACUGUACAAAGGUAGCAUAAUAAUUAGUCUUUUAAUUGAAGGCUUGUAUGAAUGGUUGUAUGUAAAAUUAACUUUUUUAUUAGUAUUUUAAUUUUAUUAUUAAGUUAAAAAGCUUAAAUAAUUAAAAGGGACGAGAAGACCCUAUAGAAUUUAAAUUAAAUUAAAAUUUUUUAGUUGGGGUGAUAGUAAUUAACUUUCUUUUAUUUUAUUGAUAAAUAAUAAAUGAUCCUUAAUUAGAUAAAAAGAUAAAAUUACCUUAGGGAUAACAGCAUUAUUUUUUUUUUAAGAACAUAUUUAUAAAAAAGUUUAUGACCUCGAUGUUGAAUUAAAAUUAUACUUAAAUGUAGGUGUUUAAGG